Molecule: small RNA, 73 nt
Filed under: Salmonella enterica subsp. enterica serovar Ituri
Lineage: Bacteria; Pseudomonadati; Pseudomonadota; Gammaproteobacteria; Enterobacterales; Enterobacteriaceae
Description: partial RtT sRNA
Rfam family: RtT RNA
About the family: This family represents a bacterial cis-regulatory element known as RtT RNA.
Source: RNAcentral
CGUGAAGGAUAACGUUGCGUCAGCAACGGCCCGAAGGGCGAGGUGAAGCCGAGUCAUCCUGCACGACCCACCA